RNAcentral lists this small nuclear RNA (95 nucleotides) under Octodon degus (degu). The record is from RNAcentral. Lineage: Eukaryota; Metazoa; Chordata; Mammalia; Rodentia; Octodontidae.
UUGCUUCAGCAACAUGUAUUCUAAAAUUGGAACAAUAUAGAGCAUGGUCCCUUUGCAAAGAUAGCACACACAUUCAUGAAAUAUUCCAUAUUUUA